This is a small nucleolar RNA of Grammomys surdaster, 132 nucleotides long. RefSeq annotates it as small nucleolar RNA SNORA17. Lineage: Eukaryota; Metazoa; Chordata; Mammalia; Rodentia; Muridae. The transcript has a single exon. The record is from RefSeq and is a predicted model, not a curated record.
ACUGCUCCUAGAGACCUUGCAUGUAUAGCUGUUGUGCCACAUGUAUAUCAAUAGGUGGCAGAGAAGAGAGAGGCUAUGUCUACACUCAGUGUUCUGACCUAUACAUAUCUGAAUAAUUAGUAGCCUAACAUU